This 1446-nucleotide long non-coding RNA is filed under the name Coturnix japonica (Japanese quail). RNAcentral's name for it is "lncRNA (ENSCJPG00005001615.1)". Lineage: Eukaryota; Metazoa; Chordata; Aves; Galliformes; Phasianidae. The record is from RNAcentral.
AUGGACCUUCCAGGACCUUCAACCCCAUUUUCUCUCUAUUGCCCUUCCAGGACCCUUCAUUUACUCUCUAUUGGCCUUCCAGGACCUUUCAUUUUCUCUCUAUUGAUCUUCCAGGACCUUUCAACCCCAUUUAUUCUCUAUUGCCCUUCCAGGACCUUUCAUUUACUCUCUAUGGUUCUUCCAGGACCUUCAACCCCAUUUACUCUCUAUUGCCCUUCCAGGACCCUUCAUUUACUCUCUAUUGCCCUUCCAGGACCUUACAACCCCAUUUACUCUCUAUUGCCCUUCCAGGACCUUUCAUUUACUCUCUAUUGCCCUUCCAGGACCUUACAGCCCCAUUUACUCUCUAUUGCCCUUCCAGGACCUUUCAUUUACUCUCUAUUGCCCUUCCAGGACCUUNCUCUCUAUUGCCCUUCCAGGACCUUACAGCCCCAUUUACUCUCUAUUGCCCUUCCAGGACCUUUCAUUUACUCUCUAUUGCCCUUCCAGGACCUUUCAUUUACUCUCUAUUGCCCUUCCAGGACCUUUCAUUUACUCUCUAUUGACCUUCCAGGACCUUUCAUUUACUCUCUAUUGACCUUCCAGGACCUUUCAUUUACUCUCUAUUGCCCUUCCUGGACCUUUCAACCCCAUUUUCUCUCUAUUCACCUUCCAGGACCCUUCAUUUACUCUCUAUGGCCCUUCCAGGACCCUUCAUUUACUCUCUAUUGCCCUUCCAGGACCUUUCAACCCCAUUUACUCUCUAUGGCCCUUCCAGGACCUUUCAUUUACUCUAUAUUGCCCUUCCAGGACCUUCAAUCCCAUUUACUCUCUAUUGACCUUCCAGGACCUUCAACCCCCUUUACUCUCUAUUGCCCUUCCAGGACCUUUCAUUUUCUCUCUAUUGAUCUUCCAGGACCUUUCAACCCCAUUUAUUCUCUAUUGACCUUCCAGGACCCUUCAUUUACUCUCUAUGGAACUUCCAGGACCUUUCAACCCCAUUUUCUCUCUAUUGCCCUUCCAGGACCCUUCAUUUUCUCUCUAUUGCCCUUCCAGGACCCUUCAUUUACUCUCUAUUGCCCUUCCAGGACCUUUCAAUCCCAUUUACUCUCUAUUCACCUUCCAGGACCUUUCAUUUACUCUCUACUGACCUUCCAGGACCUUUCAAUUCCAUUUACUCUCUAUGGCCCUUCCAGGACCUUUCAUUUACUCUCUAUUCACCUUCCAGGACCUUUCACUUUCUCUCUAUUGCCCUUCCAGGACCCUUCAUUUACUCUGUAUUGCCCUUCCAGGACCUUUCAAUCCCAUUUUCUCUCUAUUGCCCUUCCAGGACCCUUCAUUUCCUCUAUUGACCUUCCAGGACCUUUCAUUUCCUCUCUAUUGACCUUGCAGGACCCUUCCAACAUGGCCUCCAGGAUCAUAGAGUCACAAAGUGGUUUGCAUGGGAAAGGUCCUCCAGGAUCAUAG